Molecule: microRNA, 23 nt
Filed under: Pristionchus pacificus
Lineage: Eukaryota; Metazoa; Nematoda; Chromadorea; Rhabditida; Neodiplogasteridae
Description: ppc-miR-8324-3p
Source: miRBase by way of RNAcentral
UUGAUCUUUGAUCCUCCUUCAGG